GUUUCUUCACAACAAGAAAAAAUCGAAAAAACAGGGGAAUGAUCUUCGUCUUAUGGAUAUUUUAGUAUCAAUAUGUUUCAUGGCCAACAUCAGAUUUCAUGGUGUUAUGAUCUUCUGAUGUAAUCAUUUCAUGGCCAACACCAGGACUCCCUCCUCACGGUAUUUAUAGCAUAGCAUGUUGAGUGUGAGUGCUCUCUCUUUAUAUUCUUAUUGAUACUUAAUGCAAUUAUGCAACUUGACUUAAAUAUGAGGAAUGCAGUGCAUCAUGAUAUGCGAAUGUGGACCGUUUAUAUGUCAAAUUGCUUUUGAUUUGGUGGCCCCAAUCCCACCAGCGCAGUCAUUCUUUUUUCUAUGCUUCAAAUAGAUUUGGCUCAUUAUUCUCUUUCCAGAUAUGUACAUUUCAUUUGAUAAUUGCUUCUUUUAAUCUUCCUCUCUCCUUUUGCUAUAAAAGGUUUGCUUACAUGAAUUUCAUGUGUUAAUUAUAUUAUCCUAGCUAGAAUAUAAGGCAGGGUCUGAUAGAAAAGAAUGUUAGUGUGAGACAGGAUCACAGACAACUUCACUAGAUUAUAAAAACCAACAGAGACUCCUCACUGUCACAGAGUCACACUCACAUGGAGGCUUACCAAUAAUCUGACAUUUUUUUUAAACUAAAAUAAGCUAAUAAAAUAAAAGCUUUAAUUAGUCAUUUAGCAUUUAAAAUUGCAAAUAAUGUUAAUUUUGUUAUUAUAUUUAAAAAAUAUGCAUUUUUAUUCUUUGCAAAUGUACUCUAAUCGCUCUUAGUCCUCG
Molecule: long non-coding RNA, 786 nt
Filed under: Vigna radiata
Lineage: Eukaryota; Viridiplantae; Streptophyta; Magnoliopsida; Fabales; Fabaceae
Description: long non-coding RNA (VRAD_LNC007000)
Source: RNAcentral